RNAcentral lists this ribosomal RNA (441 nucleotides) under uncultured bacterium. RNAcentral describes it as "partial 16S ribosomal RNA". It matches the Rfam family "Bacterial small subunit ribosomal RNA", at positions 338 to 795 of the family's 1533-position model. The record is from RNAcentral.
CCUACGGGUGGCAGCAGUGGGGAAUAUUGCACAAUGGGCGAAAGCCUGAUGCAGCAACGCCGCGUGAAGGAAGACGGUUUUCGGAUUGUAAACUUCUGUUCUUAGUGAAGAAGAAAGACGGUACCUGACUAAGAAGCCCCGGCUAACUACGUGCCAGCAGCCGCGGUAAUACGUAGGGGGCAAGCGUUAUCCGGAUUUACUGGGUGUAAAGGGAGCGUAGACGGCUGUGCAAGUCUGAAGUGAAAGCCCGUGGCUCAACCGCGGAACUGCUUUGGAAACUGUAUAGCUUGAGUACUGGAGAGGCAGGCGGAAUUCCUAGUGUAGCGGUGAAAUGCGUAGAUAUUAGGAGGAACACCAGUGGCGAAGGCGGCCUGCUGGACAGAAACUGACGUUGAGGCUCGAAAGCGUGGGGAGCAAACAGGAUUAGAUACCCCUGUAGUC